UACGAAGGGGGCUAGCGUUGUUCGGAUUUACUGGGCGUAAAGGGCGCGUAGGCGGUUUAGUAAGUUGGAAGUGAAAGCCCGGGGCUUAACCCCGGAAUUGCUUUCAAAACUGCUAGACUAGAGUGUAGUAGGGGAUGAUGGAAUUCCUAGUGUAGAGGUGGAAUUCUUAGAUAUUAGGAGGAACACCGGUGGCGAAGGCGGUCAUCUGGGCUACAACUGACGCUGAGGCGCGAAAGCGUGGGGAGCAAACGGG
Molecule: ribosomal RNA, 253 nt
Filed under: uncultured bacterium
Lineage: Bacteria
Description: partial 16S ribosomal RNA
Rfam family: Bacterial small subunit ribosomal RNA
Source: RNAcentral